UGCACAACUGAUCUACAGAAUGUGAGU
This 27-nucleotide non-coding RNA is filed under the name Rattus norvegicus (Norway rat). Lineage: Eukaryota; Metazoa; Chordata; Mammalia; Rodentia; Muridae. The record is from RNAcentral.